RNAcentral lists this ribosomal RNA (712 nucleotides) under uncultured Propionibacterium sp. RNAcentral describes it as "bacterial SSU rRNA". It matches the Rfam family "Bacterial small subunit ribosomal RNA", at positions 65 to 791 of the family's 1533-position model. The record is from RNAcentral. Lineage: Bacteria; Bacillati; Actinomycetota; Actinomycetes; Propionibacteriales; Propionibacteriaceae.
UACGGUAAGGCCCUUUCGGGGGUACACGAGUGGCGAACGGGUGAGUAACACGUGAGUAACCUGCCCACAACUUUGGGAUAACGCUAGGAAACUGGUGCUAAUACUGGAUAUGUGCUCCUGCUGCAUGGUGGGGGUUGGAAAGCUCCGGCGGUUGUGGAUGGACUCGCGGCCUAUCAGCUUGUUGGUGGGGUAGUGGCCUACCAAGGCGGCGACGGGUAGCCGGCCUGAGAGGGUGACCGGCCACAUUGGGACUGAGAUACGGCCCAGACUCCUACGGGAGGCAGCAGUGGGGAAUAUUGCACAAUGGGCGCAAGCCUGAUGCAGCAACGCCGCGUGCGGGAUGACGGCCUUCGGGUUGUAAACCGCUUUCAGCAGGGACGAAGCUUUUUGUGACGGUACCUGCAGAAGAAGCACCGGCUAACUACGUGCCAGCAGCCGCGGUGAUACGUAGGGUGCGAGCGUUGUCCGGAUUUAUUGGGCGUAAAGGGCUCGUAGGCGGUUGAUCGCGUCGGAAGUGGAAACUUGAUGCUUAACGUUGAGCGUGCUUUCGAUACGGGUUGACUUGAGGAAGGUAGGGGAGAAUGGAAUUYCUGGUGGAGCGGUGGAAUGCGCAGAUAUCAGGAGGAACACCAGUGGCGAAGGCGGUUCUCUGGACCUUUCCUGACGCUGAGGACCGAAAGCGUGGGGAGCGAACAGGCUUAGAUAMCCUGGU